GCGAGAAACCCUGCAAGUGAG
Molecule: microRNA, 21 nt
Filed under: Branchiostoma floridae (Florida lancelet)
Lineage: Eukaryota; Metazoa; Chordata; Leptocardii; Amphioxiformes; Branchiostomatidae
Description: bfl-miR-4882c
Source: miRBase by way of RNAcentral